This 486-nucleotide ribosomal RNA is filed under the name uncultured bacterium. RNAcentral's name for it is "partial 16S ribosomal RNA". It matches the Rfam family "Bacterial small subunit ribosomal RNA", at positions 899 to 1397 of the family's 1533-position model. The record is from RNAcentral.
ACUCAAAGGAAUUGACGGGGGAGCGCACAACCGGUGGAGCAUGUGGUUUAAUUCGAGACGAAGCGAAAAACCUUACCCAGAUUUGAUAUGUAGCUGCACGUCCUAGGAAACUAGGAUUUCUUCGAGAGUGCUACACAGGUGAUGCAUGGCUGUCGUCAGCUCGUGUCGUGAGGCGUCCGCUUAAGUGCGGUAACGAGCGCAACCCUUAUCCUGAGUUACAUGUAUCUCGGGAGACUGCCCUGCGUAUAGCAGGGAGGAAGGAGAGGAUGACGUCAAGUCAGCACGUCCCUUACAUCUGGGGCUACACACAUCCUACAAUGGAGCCGACAACGGGUUGCAACAGGGUAACCUCGAGCUAAUCCUUAUAAACGGCCCCUCAGUUCAGAUUGAGGGCUGCAAUUCGCCCUCAUGAAGUUGGAAUCGGUAGUAAUCGCAGGUCAGCAGACUGCGGUGAAUACGUUCUCGCUCCUUGUACACACCGCCCGU